Amphibalanus amphitrite is the source of this 217-nucleotide long non-coding RNA. RefSeq lists it as uncharacterized. The record is from RefSeq and is a predicted model, not a curated record. The transcript has 2 exons. NCBI's taxonomy places the organism in Eukaryota, Metazoa, Arthropoda, Thecostraca, Balanomorpha, Balanidae.
GCUGGUACUCAUACGCCAACACGUCAGAUUUGGUAACCGCCCAUUUCAUGCCGCAUUUUUGGUUCUUGGAAAGCGUUUGAAGUAUAAGAAGGCGAUAGCGUUCAGGCGUGAAGAAUAUGUCUGCAGGUGGAUAAUGUUGAAACCUUGCUUACUUGCUUACUUUGGCCUACUUGGAUGCUUGUGAAGCUGGAGUCACAAUACAGAGGCCAACUAUCAA